GGGAUAAAUCUGGGGCUGAGUACAAGCAAAACAAGACCAAAGGAAGCUACCUGAGCAGGUAUUCCAGAUACUCAUGUCAUACACCAAGGUUGUACCAGUGCCCCUUUCUCUGUGACACAUCCAUCCACUGGAAACUUUCGUACAACUAGCUGAAAGAAGAGAAACAUCCUAUUUCAUGUCACUGGAGCCCUAAUGAUCGCAGCCAUUUCAGGAAAUGCCAUCAAUUACAGUGAGGAGCUCAUUCAGAAGUGAAAGAUGAGUUCCAUUCUCUGUUACUUAGAGUUUUACGGCCCCUACAUUUUGAGAACCCAACUGCAUCUGAGAACCAAACUUCUUGGAAAUUCUAAAGGGCAUGCCAUAGGCAGCCUAGCUACUUUAACAGAGCAUUUCAAUCAGUUUUUCUCCACGGUUUGGCCAAAUAAUUAGUAUGUUUCCUGGCAACACAUUGAGAAAGAAAGCUGGUAUAGAAUCUUCCUAACAAUGGACCAAGAUGAGAGAAGAAGCCAGUCAUAUCCAUUUCUCAACCUUCGGUCUUCUUGCAUAUGGGGGAAAGGUGUGUCCUCAAUUUCAAAUAUGUUUGAAGAUUUAACUAUCACUCAUGCUUAGAAAUUUUAAUUUUUGGAUUGAUACUUUGUUUUACUCAGGAAUGAUCAGAAAAGUUUUAAACUGCACGAUUACAAUUCACAAAAAGAGGAAAAACCAGUUUUAAUUAGUAAAUUUAACCAGAAAUUGAGCUUCAUGAUAUUUAAAGGGAUGGUGGGUUUUAUGAUUACUCCUCAUAGAUUCUGUCUGUUCAAGUUUUUAAUUACUAGAUCUGACAUUUUGCAUGAGUUUGUUCAUUUGACAGGAUCUGGACAUUUAAAAAUAAAACUAAAAAAAAAUUGUUCGAUAUACAAAGAUACAAAA
Molecule: long non-coding RNA, 906 nt
Organism: Homo sapiens (human)
Lineage: Eukaryota; Metazoa; Chordata; Mammalia; Primates; Hominidae
Source: Ensembl